CAAAAUUUUAGAAAGCCCAAUACUUAGAUAGUUUAGCUGCAAUGUUUUGAUGGUCUGAAAACUCGAUAGUAAAUUAAAUAGUCAUGCCCACUAGAAUUAUCGACAAGCCCAACAAAUAUUUGGGGCUAAUUCCAAGCGCCUCUUAAAAGAAAAAGAGAACGACCGCAGCACUAAAAUAAAAUAAUUUAUAUUAUACAGACUUCUUUUGAUUCAAAUGAGAUCAAAUUAGUAAAAUAAUUUAUACCUAUAAAAACAAAAAGGAAAUUUGAGGCGAAAUCCUGCUGGCCACUGGUUUCAGAUAUCCUGGAAAAAAAAAAAAAAAAAGUUAAAACAAUUAAUAAAAUAAUACUAAGACUCAAAAUUUUAGACUAAAUUAGAUAAGAGGACAAAAUUAAUAAAUUAGGACCAUCAGAACUAAUAACAAUUGGAAUAAGACUGAAAUAAACCAGAUGGUCAGUGUGGAAAGAAAGAAGUUAAACCGAAGCACACAACUCAGCAACAUACUGAAUGUGCAAGUGUACAACACAGCAAACAAACAUAAAGUGUCACACUAACAAAAAACACCAUGAAACUUCUUGCAUGUCUCUAGAAGUAACAUCAAUCCUAAAAAAAAAUUACCUAACAAAAUUAAAAGCUAACAGUAACAGACUCCAGCUUGCAUUUCAUAAACGAAUAAUGUCUUCAAAAAGUGGACAAACUCUUGGGAAGAACAGUUAAAAUGCCACAAGUGGGAAUCAUAGGAAGAACAGUUUGUUUCAGACCGGAAAAAAAAAAAAAAAGGAAGAACAGUUCUUUAUGUCAAUAACAAAAAAGGAACAUAGAACAACAGGUUCUUUUGUUUAAAAUGCAAGAUGUUGCAACUCAUAAGAAGAACGUUUGGUGUGGGAUAACCAGUGAAUGUUAAUGAUUAUAAACCAAAAUAUACAUACUGAAGAAACAUUUUAAAAUACCCUAUUACUACAUUUGUAUAUCAUAACUUUAUUUUAAACAACAUUUUACUACCAAAAAGAAAACCUGCUAAUACACGGAAACAAAUUUAACACAGAAAUUAUACAUGAUAUAUAUCUUCCAGCUUUUACACAAUCCAGAGGUAAUUGUCAAUAGAUGAUAAAAUAUGAAUGAGAAACUAUAUCAAAUUAAGAUUAAUGUGUACCAACGAGAGAGAGAGAGAGAGAGAGAGAGAGAGAGAGCUGCAACACUUCCUAAAAUUAUAACUUCCACUCUGUCUUCAGUAUAUAUGGGCAGAUAAAUUUUAGUUGCAUAAACAUUGCUUGGGUGUAUAGAUGCAAAAGAAAAUACUUAGAGCUUUUGAGACUCCUCUCCCUUCUCAUCCUAACUUGAAAAGUUGAGACUGAUAUUGCCUAGAACAGUGCGACAAAAUUCGAAUAAUGCACUAACCCAUUUAUGAUUUUUCACGUUCUAAUGUCUUUCACGUGAUGUUACAUUGAAAGUUAGAGAAACCACAUCAUCUGAUGUUCUCUUUUUGUUGGAACAUCAGAUGGUGGAAUAGUCUAGUUAUUGAUGGUUAUUAGACCAUCAGAUUUUGCUACAAAUGAUUACUUUAAAAUUCACCACGCAACCGUGUAUCACUGAUGUAUACAAUGUUUCCGAUUCUAUAUGUAAGAUACCAUCCCCACUCCCUCGUAUCUGAUACAUCAUUCAACAAAAAUAUGCUAUUUCAAAGCACUCCCAUUCUAUCAUUCAUGUGUGCUAAUUUAGUUUUUGUCAGAUAUAUGGUUCAAGUUUUCAUCAAAUACUAUGCUAUUUGCCCCUGAAAACUUAUUUUUGUUCAUUUUGUAUCCGUUUUAAACAAAAAAAGAUAUUUAAAAAAAGAAAAACAUCUACAUGCUUGAAUGAGCAGGGAGUAAAACCUUAACGAUAUAUGGAAGACGCGCUGUCAGUGCCUCUAUCAAUCGACAUCGCACCUUGAGCAAGCUGCCAUGGAGUACCUGGAAUGGAAGCAAACAUC
Molecule: long non-coding RNA, 1969 nt
Filed under: Prunus dulcis (almond)
Lineage: Eukaryota; Viridiplantae; Streptophyta; Magnoliopsida; Rosales; Rosaceae
Description: sRNA ncRNA
Source: RNAcentral